GCACAAGCGGUGGAUGAUGUGGUUUAAUUCGAUGCAACGCGAAAACCUUACCCACCUUUGACAUGUACGGAACCCUUUAGAGAUAGAGGGGUGCUCGAAAGAGAGCCGUAACACAGGUGCUGCAUGGCUGUCGUCAGCUCGUGUCGUGAGAUGUUGGGUUAAGUCCCGCAACGAGCGCAACCCUUGUCAUUAGUUGCUACAUUCAGUUGGGCACUCUAAUGAGACUGCCGGUGACAAGCCGGAGGAAGGUGGGGAUGACGUCAAGUCCUCAUGGCCCUUAUAGGUGGGGCUACACACGUCAUACAAUGGCUGGGUACAAAGGGUUGCCAACCCGCGAGGGGGAGCCAAUCCCAUAAAGCCAGUCGUAGUCCGGAUCGUAGUCUGCAACUCGACUACGUGAAGUCGGAAUCGCUAGUAAUCGUGGAUCAGAAUGUCACGGUGAAUACGUUCCCGGGUCUU
RNAcentral lists this ribosomal RNA (459 nucleotides) under uncultured Rhodoferax sp. Its description in RNAcentral is "bacterial SSU rRNA". It matches the Rfam family "Bacterial small subunit ribosomal RNA", at positions 923 to 1382 of the family's 1533-position model. The record is from RNAcentral. Lineage: Bacteria; Pseudomonadati; Pseudomonadota; Betaproteobacteria; Burkholderiales; Comamonadaceae.